RNAcentral lists this transfer RNA (71 nucleotides) under Prevotellaceae bacterium. Its description in RNAcentral is "tRNA-Gln". It matches the Rfam family "tRNA". Rfam says of the family: Transfer RNA (tRNA) molecules are approximately 80 nucleotides in length. Their secondary structure includes four short double-helical elements and three loops (D, anti-codon, and T loops). Further hydrogen bonds mediate the characteristic L-shaped molecular structure. tRNAs have two regions of fundamental functional importance: the anti-codon, which is responsible for specific mRNA codon recognition, and the 3' end, to which the tRNAs corresponding amino acid is attached (by aminoacyl-tRNA synthetases). tRNAs cope with the degeneracy of the genetic code in two manners: having more than one tRNA (with a specific anti-codon) for a particular amino acid; and 'wobble' base-pairing, i.e. permitting non-standard base-pairing at the 3rd anti-codon position. The record is from RNAcentral. Lineage: Bacteria; Pseudomonadati; Bacteroidota; Bacteroidia; Bacteroidales; Prevotellaceae.
UGAUCUAUGGUGUAAUGGUAGCACGACAGCCUCUGGAGCUGUUUGUCUUGGUUCGAGUCCAGGUAGGUCAA